Molecule: ribosomal RNA, 2910 nt
Filed under: Escherichia coli
Lineage: Bacteria; Pseudomonadati; Pseudomonadota; Gammaproteobacteria; Enterobacterales; Enterobacteriaceae
Description: 23S ribosomal RNA
Rfam family: Bacterial large subunit ribosomal RNA
Source: RNAcentral
GGGUUGUGAGGUUAAGCGACUAAGCGUACACGGUGGAUGCCCUGGCAGUCAGAGGCGAUGAAGGACGUGCUAAUCUGCGAUAAGCGUCGGUAAGGUGAUAUGAACCGUUAUAACCGGCGAUUUCCGAAUGGGGAAACCCAGUGUGUUUCGACACACUAUCAUUAACUGAAUCCAUAGGUUAAUGAGGCGAACCGGGGGAACUGAAACAUCUAAGUACCCCGAGGAAAAGAAAUCAACCGAGAUUCCCCCAGUAGCGGCGAGCGAACGGGGAGCAGCCCAGAGCCUGAAUCAGUGUGUGUGUUAGUGGAAGCGUCUGGAAAGGCGCGCGAUACAGGGUGACAGCCCCGUACACAAAAAUGCACAUGCUGUGAGCUCGAUGAGUAGGGCGGGACACGUGGUAUCCUGUCUGAAUAUGGGGGGACCAUCCUCCAAGGCUAAAUACUCCUGACUGACCGAUAGUGAACCAGUACCGUGAGGGAAAGGCGAAAAGAACCCCGGCGAGGGGAGUGAAAAAGAACCUGAAACCGUGUACGUACAAGCAGUGGGAGCACGCUUAGGCGUGUGACUGCGUACCUUUUGUAUAAUGGGUCAGCGACUUAUAUUCUGUAGCAAGGUUAACCGAAUAGGGGAGCCGAAGGGAAACCGAGUCUUAACUGGGCGUUAAGUUGCAGGGUAUAGACCCGAAACCCGGUGAUCUAGCCAUGGGCAGGUUGAAGGUUGGGUAACACUAACUGGAGGACCGAACCGACUAAUGUUGAAAAAUUAGCGGAUGACUUGUGGCUGGGGGUGAAAGGCCAAUCAAACCGGGAGAUAGCUGGUUCUCCCCGAAAGCUAUUUAGGUAGCGCCUCGUGAAUUCAUCUCCGGGGGUAGAGCACUGUUUCGGCAAGGGGGUCAUCCCGACUUACCAACCCGAUGCAAACUGCGAAUACCGGAGAAUGUUAUCACGGGAGACACACGGCGGGUGCUAACGUCCGUCGUGAAGAGGGAAACAACCCAGACCGCCAGCUAAGGUCCCAAAGUCAUGGUUAAGUGGGAAACGAUGUGGGAAGGCCCAGACAGCCAGGAUGUUGGCUUAGAAGCAGCCAUCAUUUAAAGAAAGCGUAAUAGCUCACUGGUCGAGUCGGCCUGCGCGGAAGAUGUAACGGGGCUAAACCAUGCACCGAAGCUGCGGCAGCGACGCUUAUGCGUUGUUGGGUAGGGGAGCGUUCUGUAAGCCUGCGAAGGUGUGCUGUGAGGCAUGCUGGAGGUAUCAGAAGUGCGAAUGCUGACAUAAGUAACGAUAAAGCGGGUGAAAAGCCCGCUCGCCGGAAGACCAAGGGUUCCUGUCCAACGUUAAUCGGGGCAGGGUGAGUCGACCCCUAAGGCGAGGCCGAAAGGCGUAGUCGAUGGGAAACAGGUUAAUAUUCCUGUACUUGGUGUUACUGCGAAGGGGGGACGGAGAAGGCUAUGUUGGCCGGGCGACGGUUGUCCCGGUUUAAGCGUGUAGGCUGGUUUUCCAGGCAAAUCCGGAAAAUCAAGGCUGAGGCGUGAUGACGAGGCACUACGGUGCUGAAGCAACAAAUGCCCUGCUUCCAGGAAAAGCCUCUAAGCAUCAGGUAACAUCAAAUCGUACCCCAAACCGACACAGGUGGUCAGGUAGAGAAUACCAAGGCGCUUGAGAGAACUCGGGUGAAGGAACUAGGCAAAAUGGUGCCGUAACUUCGGGAGAAGGCACGCUGAUAUGUAGGUGAAGCGACUUGCUCGUGGAGCUGAAAUCAGUCGAAGAUACCAGCUGGCUGCAACUGUUUAUUAAAAACACAGCACUGUGCAAACACGAAAGUGGACGUAUACGGUGUGACGCCUGCCCGGUGCCGGAAGGUUAAUUGAUGGGGUUAGCGCAAGCGAAGCUCUUGAUCGAAGCCCCGGUAAACGGCGGCCGUAACUAUAACGGUCCUAAGGUAGCGAAAUUCCUUGUCGGGUAAGUUCCGACCUGCACGAAUGGCGUAAUGAUGGCCAGGCUGUCUCCACCCGAGACUCAGUGAAAUUGAACUCGCUGUGAAGAUGCAGUGUACCCGCGGCAAGACGGAAAGACCCCGUGAACCUUUACUAUAGCUUGACACUGAACAUUGAGCCUUGAUGUGUAGGAUAGGUGGGAGGCUUAGAAGUGUGGACGCCAGUCUGCAUGGAGCCGACCUUGAAAUACCACCCUUUAAUGUUUGAUGUUCUAACGUUGACCCGUAAUCCGGGUUGCGGACAGUGUCUGGUGGGUAGUUUGACUGGGGCGGUCUCCUCCUAAAGAGUAACGGAGGAGCACGAAGGUUGGCUAAUCCUGGUCGGACAUCAGGAGGUUAGUGCAAUGGCAUAAGCCAGCUUGACUGCGAGCGUGACGGCGCGAGCAGGUGCGAAAGCAGGUCAUAGUGAUCCGGUGGUUCUGAAUGGAAGGGCCAUCGCUCAACGGAUAAAAGGUACUCCGGGGAUAACAGGCUGAUACCGCCCAAGAGUUCAUAUCGACGGCGGUGUUUGGCACCUCGAUGUCGGCUCAUCACAUCCUGGGGCUGAAGUAGGCCCCAAUAAAGUGGUACGCGAGCUGGGUUUAGAACGUCGUGAGACAGUUCGGUCCCUAUCUGCCGUGGGCGCUGGAGAACUGAGGGGGGCUGCUCCUAGUACGAGAGGACCGGAGUGGACGCAUCACUGGUGUUCGGGUUGUCAUGCCAAUGGCACUGCCCGGUAGCUAAAUGCGGAAGAGAUAAGUGCUGAAAGCAUCUAAGCACGAAACUUGCCCCGAGAUGAGUUCUCCCUGACCCUUUAAGGGUCCUGAAGGAACGUUGAAGACGACGACGUUGAUAGGCCGGGUGUGUAAGCGCAGCGAUGCGUUGAGCUAACCGGUACUAAUGAACCGUGAGGCUUAACCUUACAACGCCGAAGCUGUU